GCCUCGUUAGCUCAGUUGGUAGAGCGGCUCCCUCUUAAGGAGAUGGUCGCAGGUUCAAAUCCUGCACGGGGCA
Molecule: transfer RNA, 73 nt
Filed under: bacterium
Lineage: Bacteria
Description: tRNA-Lys
Rfam family: tRNA
About the family: Transfer RNA (tRNA) molecules are approximately 80 nucleotides in length.
Source: RNAcentral